Molecule: non-coding RNA, 172 nt
Filed under: Enterococcus avium
Lineage: Bacteria; Bacillati; Bacillota; Bacilli; Lactobacillales; Enterococcaceae
Description: Enterococcus sRNA B11
Rfam family: Enterococcus sRNA B11
About the family: Name 'Ref' stands for RNA in E. faecalis.
Source: RNAcentral
GGCAGCUGCCCCAAAAGGGGGUGUUAGCAUGCAUGAUUUUCUCACAUUGGUUGUCGCACCAUUAAUAGUGGUUCUGGUGACAAAACUAGUCGAUUAUUGGUUAGAUGAUCGAGACGACAACUAGACGCAGCUGUCAGUCUAACCCACGCGCUGGCCGUCGCAUCCAGCGAAA